This 116-nucleotide ribozyme is filed under the name Aedes aegypti (yellow fever mosquito). Its description in RNAcentral is "drz-agam-1 ribozyme". It matches the Rfam family "drz-agam-1 ribozyme". Lineage: Eukaryota; Metazoa; Arthropoda; Insecta; Diptera; Culicidae. The record is from Rfam by way of RNAcentral.
UUGUCAGCAACUCCUAUCCCUACCUCCUUGCGGUACCGGCCAGAGUACGAGCAACCUUAGGGAAGAUCGGGUAACCAACGCCGGUCGGAACUCAGGUCGUAUGCUGACAGGGAAGG